UACAGAGGGUGCGAGCGUUACUCGGAAUUACUGGGCGUAAAGCGUGCGUAGACGGCUAUCUAAGUCGGGUGUGAAAGCCCCGGGCUCAACCUGGGAAUUGCAUUCGAGACUGACUAGCUAGGGUGCGGUAGAGGGAAGCGGAAUUUCCGGUGUAGCGGUGAAAUGCGUAGGUAUCGGAAGGAACAUCAGUGGCGAAAGCGGCUUCCUGGACCAGCACCGACGUUCAGGCACGAAAGCGUGGGGAGCAAACAGG
RNAcentral lists this ribosomal RNA (253 nucleotides) under uncultured bacterium. Its description in RNAcentral is "partial 16S ribosomal RNA". It matches the Rfam family "Bacterial small subunit ribosomal RNA", at positions 524 to 776 of the family's 1533-position model. The record is from RNAcentral.